Molecule: ribosomal RNA, 800 nt
Filed under: Rhodococcus sp. (in: high G+C Gram-positive bacteria)
Lineage: Bacteria; Bacillati; Actinomycetota; Actinomycetes; Mycobacteriales; Nocardiaceae
Description: bacterial SSU rRNA
Rfam family: Bacterial small subunit ribosomal RNA
Source: RNAcentral
AAGUCGAGCGGUAAGGCCUUUCGGGGUACACGAGCGGCGAACGGGUGCGUAACACGUGGGUGAUCUGCCCUGCACUUCGGGAUAAGCCUGGGAAACUGGGUCUAAUACCGGAUAUGACCUCCUAUCGCAUGGUGGGUGGUGGAAAGAUUUAUCGGUGCAGGAUGGGCCCGCGGCCUAUCAGCUUGUUGGUGGGGUAAUGGCCUACCAAGGCGACGACGGGUAGCCGACCUGAGAGGGUGACCGGCCACACUGGGACUGAGACACGGCCCAGACUCCUACGGGAGGCAGCAGUGGGGAAUAUUGCACAAUGGGCGAAAGCCUGAUGCAGCGACGCCGCGUGAGGGAUGACGGCCUUCGGGUUGUAAACCUCUUUCAGCAGGGACGAAGCGCAAGUGACGGUACCUGCAGAAGAAGCACCGGCUAACUACGUGCCAGCAGCCGCGGUAAUACGUAGGGUGCAAGCGUUGUCCGGAAUUACUGGGCGUAAAGAGUUCGUAGGCGGUUUGUCGCGUCGUUUGUGAAAACCAGCAGCUCAACUGCUGGCUUGCAGGCGAUACGGGCAGACUUGAGUACUGCAGGGGAGACUGGAAUUCCUGGUGUAGCGGUGAAAUGCGCAGAUAUCAGGAGGAACACCGGUGGCGAAGGCGGGUCUCUGGGCAGUAACUGACGCUGAGGAACGAAAGCGUGGGUAGCGAACAGGAUUAGAUACCCUGGUAGUCCACGCCGUAAACGGUGGGCGCUAGGUGUGGGUUCCUUCCACGGAAUCCGUGCCGUAGCUAACGCAUUAAGCGCCCCGCCUG